This 319-nucleotide unclassified non-coding RNA is filed under the name Hevea brasiliensis (rubber tree). The record is from RNAcentral. Lineage: Eukaryota; Viridiplantae; Streptophyta; Magnoliopsida; Malpighiales; Euphorbiaceae.
AAAAGCAAGCUUUCCCUCAGGUGUCGCCAAAAGGUUCCCAGGAUGAGGAUCAGCAUGAAAAUAACCAUACUCAAGCAGCUGUCUGAGACUGCAUUGGAUGCCCGUAUUUACCAGAUCCAAAACCUUUAGCCCUUGCCUCUCAAUAGCUUCUUGCUCGUUCAACUUGACACCUUCAACCCACUCCAUCGUUAAUACCUUCCCACUUGUGUAGUCCCAAAAAAUAUCGGGAACAAGAACAUCUUCUUUGUCAGCGUACAACUUUUUAAAUCUCCUUGCAUUCUGCCCUUCCUGUACAUAGUUGAGCUCUUGAUAAACUCUG